UCAGGUCAUGGGUCAGAAAGCACAGAGGUGAUAAAUGCUUCCAGGUCACCUCUCCUGUCUCAGGGGGUCAGGGAGAGGGUUUCUGCAGUGACAGCAACAACAUGAUCACUCAGCUGAAGCACCAGAGUUGAACCUCUGUGACCCGUCUCUGCUCUGUCAACCUCAUACCGUUUCUACCAACCAACCAUCCACAAAAGGCAUCUGCUACAAUCAGAACAAAAAGGGCCACGCACCACCAAAGCACAGACGUGGAACCUUCACUCUGAAAUGUAAACCAGGGCAGAGCUACCCAGCCUCACUCCUGGCAGGUGACCACAUACUGAGCUCCUGCUGCUGCUCCUGAAAACCAGAAGGAAACUGCUGAGCAACAGUAGCCCAAUCACGACAACCGCCACUGCACAGAUGGCUGCUACCAUCAUAGUAUGAUCGCCAGGUUUCUUAUCUGGUUUCUGG
Thunnus maccoyii (southern bluefin tuna) is the source of this 453-nucleotide long non-coding RNA. RefSeq lists it as uncharacterized. The transcript is spliced from 4 exons. The record is from RefSeq and is a predicted model, not a curated record. Lineage: Eukaryota; Metazoa; Chordata; Actinopteri; Scombriformes; Scombridae.